RNAcentral lists this ribosomal RNA (3102 nucleotides) under Triticum aestivum (bread wheat). Its description in RNAcentral is "partial small subunit ribosomal RNA". Lineage: Eukaryota; Viridiplantae; Streptophyta; Magnoliopsida; Poales; Poaceae. The record is from RNAcentral.
AUGGGUAUGCAGGCUCUGAUGGAUGUUCGGUGCAAGAAUCUAGUGAACCCUGUAUGCGACUGGCUUGGUGAGAUUUACGACCCCGCCUCCAGGGAAUUUGUGAUUCCAGGACGUGGAAGAUUGCCGUUGGACGAGGAAUCCGUGUUCUGCACUUUGGGUGUGCCCCGUGGAAAAAUCAAAGUCCCGUAUGAGGCGAAACUGAAUGAUGUGAAGAACAUGAAUUGGUGAGGCCCGCCGCCUACACUUGUUUCUGCCUGGACUUACGAUGUUGUCAAGCCUGUGGUUGCUGCAGACAGGGUAACUGAUACGAAAUAUGGGAAACUGCAGCUGAUGGCCAAGCAUGCUAUAGACCACAAUGUGUUUGAUGGGCCUCAAAACUUUGGAAAGUGGAUGGACGUGCACUCAGCUCUGUCUUGUCCUACUGAGGCGAGGGCACCUGUUGAGCAUCUAAUUGGGCAGUUUGCAUCCGGAAUGACCAGCUUGCUCGGGAAGUUGGUUGAGGGUUGGACGUCCCUUAAUGGCUCUGACAGCGAUGCAGUUGUGAGGCAGUUCACUACAUUUGUUGCAAAACGGACACAUUGGCCAACCGGUUGCCGUGGCCGGUACGACUACAACAGUUCCCAGGAGCUUCCUGACACACAAGAUGAACUAGAUGAAGAUGCUGCUCUAGACAAGGACGAUGAUGAUGACAUGGAGAAUGUGCAACACAACAUCGACGAUGAUGAACAUGUUGAAGUUUGUGCAAGUGGUAAGAAGGGCAAGGCUGCACCAGAUGUCCCCUCACCGGAGAAAGUCAAAGAACAUACAGCUGUGAGAGGCAAGGGGGUGUCGCCCUCAAAGAGGGGGAGGGCUCCAGAGGAUGUUGGGCAGGGCUCUCCUGGCAAGAGUGAGGCGACAGCUGGUGAACGAGCAGUUACGAAGAAACAAGCACCAACGCCAACCCGUGUUUCUGCUCAAUUGAACAAGGGUGCCCCCAUUAUUGGUGACACCCCUUACACCAGGUCAUCUCCUCGUACGACGACGUCCAACACCGAGGAUCCUGUCGUGUUGCCAGACUUGAGGAAGACAAUCAAGAAGGUGAAGACUACUAUACGCGUGACCAAGCAGGUCAUUAGAGACCCACUCGAACACCUUCAUUCAAAGCUGUCGAAAGGUGGUAACUCAGAUGUUCAUGAGGCGCCAGUCGACAAAACUAUUGUUGCACCGUCAGCUGUUCCCACUAGCUCUGACGCAAGCGGCCGACCAUCUCCGUCGGUUGCAGAUGUGCAGGCUACAACAACAGGCAUCCGUACAUCUGGAAGUGACGAGUCGGUAUUUGUCAGGACUGCUGAAAUAUUGCCCACUCUGCUGGCAAUGAAGGAUGCUGCUAUGAGCCAUGCCACCCGAUCAACAAGUGUUGAAGUGGACGCCCCCGAGAUCAACCUAAGCAAGGAAGAUUCCUGCUCAUCUGACACGGAUUCCAAGCACGUGGGUGGUGGCACUUCUGUGUCCACGACAAAAGUGGCUAAGGCGACAGUUCAUAAUGAUAUGCCAUCCAUAGGUGAGUGUCUUGGCAUAACAACUCCAGCUUCUGGUGGUCUAGAGGUUGCUAAGGCGACUGUUUCGGGAGCUGACCUGCCACCUAGGCGUCAUAGCCCCUGCAAGCAAUCAGCACACAUACCCAAUGCACCGACUGUAGCUAGGAGCAGCAGAGAUGACUCUGGUUAUGUGCCUGCGUCCACACUAUUCCCACCACCUUCCAAAAGCAAUGUUAUGGAGAAAACGGAAGACCGGAGUACAACUGACCCAGGUGGCAAGCCGGGCACGACUGACGGAGGUGAACGUCCAGAGCAGACUCCGUCUUUACCUGCCGUGGAGAACCCCAGCUUAAAUCUGCGCACUUCUAAGCUCCCAGUCAACGUUGGUGUCCCCUACGGCCCAAACAAGAAGAUUGUCAAGAAAGUUGCGACUGAUACUGCUGACAACACGCCCCGCCCUAUGAAUAAGCCUGAUGAUUCUGCAGCGGCCGAUUCAGAAAUGUUUGUUGAUCUUUCACCCUUGGAUUCUGCCCAACAAGUUGUCCGCGGUCCGGCCAGUAGGCAGGAGAGGCGCCCAAUGGCCUUCACCCCACCGAGCUUUAGUCUUGGCAUCAGUCAAGAUCAACCAGUGGUGCAAGAUCCUACGCCAGUUGCCUUUGCUUUUCCGACAGGCAUGGCCGCAAUGAUGGCGCAACCAAUGGUCGAGGGCAGGAAGGCUGUCAAGUUCGCAGAGCCGAUUGUGCAAGCCACCCUUGAGGAGAUUACGCCGUCACUUGAUGAAGCUUACCGCAGGAUUGAGAAGGCAACAUUGCAGAGGAGCUCAUGUUUGGACAGAACCAAGAUCAUACAAUGUGAUGCGACGUACGUCGACCUGGGUGAUCUUGCCGAGUCUGUGAGGCCACUCGGUAAAAUGUCGAAGAAUGUAGUUGCAUAUGGAAUUGACUUCAUCAACAAACAUAUGGAUAUGUCUCCCGGCAAAACAAUCAUGCAAUAUAGUGUGACCUGCAAAAUAUGGGAUGGUGACUUUCACCACAAAAUCCCGAGGAAGCAUUUUGCUGCGCAUGGUGAUUUCAAGCUCACAAUGAAGAAAUGCGUCUUGUUCCCCAUGUUCCAGGAGCUUGCACCACACGACCCACAUGACAAGUCUGGUCACCACUACGCGAUCUGCCUUGAUCUGCAAAACCAACAUUUUGAGGUGUUUGAUUCAAUGCAUUCGGAAGCUGAUGCAGACCUUACUACGCAUGCUGAAUACUUCAUCAAUAACCUCAAGGAGACAUGGAACCGUCACUACAAAAACUCAAAGGUCCAGAUCAGACAUUUUUCAAUUGAGACCAGUAUUCCCAUCUUUUCUUCUUGUGUCCUCUACACCAAUGCUAACUCUCUUGUCACCUCUGAAUUGAAGUUUAUGAUUUUUCUCUGUGUUCUUGAAGGUAGACGGGUUCCUGUCGUCACAGCUGCAAUGGUUGUUGAGCUCCGCAAAAUUUACACAUGGAACUGGUUGACGAAUGAAGAUUUCAACACAUGGUCCAACGCACGUGAGUUCAUAGAGGAAGCUGUCAAGAAAUUUACCAAGAAGUGCAAGUGA